AGAGUUUGAUCAUGGCUCAGAACGAACGCUGGCGGCGUGCUUAACACAUGCAAGUCGUACGAGAAACCGGAACUUCGGUUCUGGGAGUAAAGUGGCGCACGGGUGAGUAACGCGUAGGUAAUCUACCCUUGGGUUUGGAAUAACCCGCCGAAAGGCGUGCUAAUACCGGAUAAAAUCUUUCGGAGGGAUCUGAAAGAUCAAAGGUGGCCUCUCCAUGGAUGCUACCGCCUGAGGAUGAGCCUGCGUCCCAUUAGCUUGUUGGUAGGGUAAUGGCCUACCAAGGCUACGAUGGGUAGCUGGUCUGAGAGGAUGAUCAGUCACACUGGAACUGGAACACGGUCCAGACUCCUACGGGAGGCAGC
Molecule: ribosomal RNA, 362 nt
Filed under: uncultured bacterium
Lineage: Bacteria
Description: bacterial SSU rRNA
Rfam family: Bacterial small subunit ribosomal RNA
Source: RNAcentral